RNAcentral lists this ribosomal RNA (337 nucleotides) under uncultured bacterium. RNAcentral describes it as "bacterial SSU rRNA". It matches the Rfam family "Bacterial small subunit ribosomal RNA", at positions 28 to 371 of the family's 1533-position model. The record is from RNAcentral.
GAUGAACGCUGGCGGCGUGCCUAAUACAUGCAAGUCGAACGGAGUGCAGCGAUGCAUUCAGUGGCGAACGGGUGAGUAACGCGUUGGUAACCUGCCCUGGAGAGAGGGAUAACAGGCCGAAAGGCUUGCUAAUACCGCAUGAGCAGUGGAGGAAUAGCAGCUUCACUGCAAAGGGAGUAAUCCGCUCUGGGAGGGGCCUGCGACCCAUCAGCUAGUUGGUAAGGUAACGGCCUACCAAGGCGAUGACGGGUAGGGGACCUGAGAGGGUGGCCCCCCAAAUGGAACUGAAACACGGUCCAUACACCUACGGGUGGCAGCAGUAGGGAAUAUUGUUUAA